Long non-coding RNA from Hypomesus transpacificus, 975 nucleotides. RefSeq lists it as uncharacterized. Lineage: Eukaryota; Metazoa; Chordata; Actinopteri; Osmeriformes; Osmeridae. The record is from RefSeq and is a predicted model, not a curated record. The transcript is spliced from 2 exons.
AAUGUCAUGUUAUGAAACAGCAGGGGCAAUGGCUUAAAGUUUGUAAAUAAAAAAGCACUUCACCACAUUGUGAUACAUAGUGGGGUUGUUGUGGCCUGCAUGUAUGGCUGCCACAGGUAAUGGCUCAUUCAUCUUUAUUGAUGGUGGCAGUUGCAGAAUGACUCAGAAGUGUAUAGAAACAUCUUAGCUCUUAAAGCCGGCGGUUCAUCUUACAGCACAGCAAUGAUCCAAAACAUAUUGCUUCAACAACAACAAAAAUCCAGCUAAAUCUGGAAUACAUUUGGGUGCUCAGAAAUAGAGGGGACUAUGGUUUAAAGGUGUUGUAAUGUUUGAACCAAAAUGUAUGAAGAUGUGUUUAAUUAAACAUGAGAGUGUGCACUUUAGGGGAUCUGUUUGAUUACAAAUGUAAAACAGUGGAGUACAGAGGAAAAUCAAGUCAAUAACGUAUUUGUCCCAAACAUUAUGGAGGGGCCUGUAUACAAAUCGAGGGACAUAAAAUGUUUGUCAUAAUUGAGUGUAUAGUUGAUGAAAAGGACAAGGUGAACAUCUUUAUUCAGUCAUUUCAGUUUUACCUUUUCCAAACAUUCCUCAAACACUGGUGAACAUCUGCUGUGCAUGCAUCAGGUUCUCUAAGUGACAAUUGUCUUCCCUUAGAUACCUUCAUUAAGUACAGAUUCAUCAAUAUUCAAAUCUUUCAGUCUAUUUCACUUCAAGCAUGACAUAAAGAGUACAACUUCUUUCAUGGUGUUUUGUAGGAAAUAUUAGCAAAAUAUGCCAUGCUUUAAAAUAUUUGUUAGGUGCAUACUAGGCUAUAGUGUAUGGAUAAAGCCGUAAGCCAUACACUGUGCAGCUGAGAAAUUGAGUGUUUAGGCUUGUCUACAAAAACACUAUUCUAGAAUAUGUAUACAAUCAGAAACAUAAUUCAAAGCUUAUUGAAAAAUGUACAUGAGCUGACUAUAAUUCGAAGAGGGAAAA